This 120-nucleotide ribosomal RNA is filed under the name uncultured bacterium. RNAcentral's name for it is "partial 16S ribosomal RNA". It matches the Rfam family "Bacterial small subunit ribosomal RNA", at positions 32 to 148 of the family's 1533-position model. The record is from RNAcentral.
AAUCAACGCUGGCGGCGUGCCUAACACAUGCAAGUCGAACGCGACUUAGGCUUCGGUCUAAGUUGAGUGGCGAACGGGUGAGUAACACGUGGGUGACCUACCUUCGAGUGGGGGAUAACG